AACUAUCCAGUGCUGGCUCUGCACUUAGGAUGUAUCAUGAUUUAAUAGUUAGUUAGUUUUUAUUUUCAUGUGCUAUGAAACGUGUGUGUUUCACUUUACAUGUUUGAACCUUAGGGGUGACACAGGACUUUGUAUUGCUAGAAAAACUUAAAGAAACAGAAUAAAACAUUUUCCCAUCGUAAAGAAAACUCCCUUAAAAUAUGGACAAUAACAAAUCUCUGUGUAAAAGAACAGUACCAAAAAAGAUGUGUCACAGUUUCUGGAUGAUCCCCACAGAAAGUACAAUUAGUAUUUAUGUCCCUUUUAAAUUUGACCAUGUAGUGACUGGCUGGAUAACAUUUAUGUAGAAUUUUAAAAGAGACUUCUUUCACCUUAUUUAUGUAGCCCUGUCUGCAAUUAUUCGGGCUUGCAGUAUAAAGAAAAAGUCUACUGUUAUAAAAAGUGGUUAAAAUAUAAAUAGUUGAUAAAAGGUUUAAAAAUCAAAUGCAAGUACAAAUGUAUUUCAUUUACAGUUAAGAGUCCAAUAAAUAAAAGGGUUUCAUGAUUUAGAGUUCAUUUUCUGUGCACACUAAAUAUGUUGGGGUGUAACCUAAGCUUAUUUACCCAUCUAAUGUCAGUUAUCUCAAUAUUGUAUUGUCAUUGGUUGUUGUGCUGACGAGCCAGUCAAUGUCACUCUUCUCUGUUAUGGGGGCGGGACGAGUGGUAACAGUUUGUGUGAAUCUGUGGGAGCGGACACAGAAGCUAAGUCCGAAGAGAGAGAUGUCGUAAGGCAAACGUGGUGUGGAUUUUGCAUCUAAGUGUAUCAUUGAGGUCGACUACCCGUGGUCCUGAUAUUACUUAUUUGUGAUCUGCAAGAGAAGCCGAGGGACGCUCUGAAAGGAGAGGGAGAGAGAGGUUUCUGCCCGGAUGGACCCUGCUAUUUCCUCGCCCCUGACUGUUUUCUUACCCCUGAAUGUCUUCACUACUGGUGAACUAACUGCUAACUGCCCGUUUCUGAUUGCCCCACUAACAAACUCAUUGGACUUGUGAGUACUAACUGGAACUAAAGUGCACGUAUUUUGUUUAUUGCUCAGUUUGAGUGAAGCGGCCAUCAGUUUUAGGCCUCACCGCACCCGAACUUCGAAUCAGGCCUGCAACAAGCACUGUGCUACCGGUGUAGUGUGGACAGGUUAAAGUGUGUGUGUGUUUGUGUGUGGGGGCCCACUGUUACAAAUUUAUUUAAAUUGAGUAAGUGUUGUAGUUUUAAUCAAAG
Astatotilapia calliptera (eastern happy) is the source of this 1252-nucleotide long non-coding RNA. NCBI's taxonomy places the organism in Eukaryota, Metazoa, Chordata, Actinopteri, Cichliformes, Cichlidae. The record is from Ensembl.